UAACGUUAUGCAAUACGACCGCCUUACACACACGCAUACACACAUCAAACAAAUUUACGGCACUCCCAUUUAUCCAUUCACCCAUUUUCUAUGCAUUCUACUCGACAAAGUUUUGUUUUGUGAGACCGCCACAUUGCCACCGCCACCCUCGCCUGAUCACAAUUCUUUUGUUCCACCUUCGGCUGCCGUUAGACUUUGGACUCACUUGUGUUAUACAUACAGACAUUUAAAGUGUAUGUUCAUAUGGGUAGAUGUGUGCUUACGUUUUGCACUAUUUCUCCAACUAAUUUAUUGAUUCUAUUGAGUAAGUGGCGCAUUUAUCGCAUUCAUUCGCUUUGUCGGUUCGGUUCGAAUGCAAACUCGGUUAAUUUCACUUAAACAGCAAUUAACUAAAUUGACUUGAACUGAGUUGUGCUCGCUGAAGUUUUCGCAAUUACCUUGCAAGGUAAUCGAUUAAUUAGAUUUGGAUGCCGAAAAUGACUCAACUGGCACAAAUGUAUAUCUUCGUUUAGAUCGAAACCUAUACCUUUAUAAGUAUUUUUCGUGCGUUUGUAACAAAGCAAGAUGUGCCAUACAAUACAAUGAUCUGAUCAAAGAGUGAAGUUUUAAAGAACUCUAACUGCAAUACAGAAGAGGUUUCUCUGUUUCUCGUAACUGAGGAUGAAAUUCGCAAACCGCUUAUUGUAUUUGAGAUGAAAGAAACAGUAAAAACUCAGUAAAAAGAAGUCGAACAUGUCUUGCAACAGAAUAAGAUGAGAAUCCAAUACUCAACAGAUGUCGUUACAAUCGAUGCUAGUUAAUACUGGGAUAGUGUGAAGACCUUUUGCACCAUAUUCCUUUACCGAUAAUAUGUACAUUUUCUAAAACUAAGAAAGCCAUCAUUGAAACCAGUGAGUAGUUUAAGAAUCUUAAGCUUCAUGAUAUGAGGAUUGAAUAACGAAAAAAAAACACCGGACUUCUAGUUAAAAGGUAGUUGUAAAACGGAAGUAUAUCGGAACUUACAAUACUUCUGUAUGAACAUGCUGACUUUUCGAUUCUUCCACAAAUACACAAAUGAUAAUGAUCAUCUAUAAUAUUCACAAAUAAUAACAUUAAGGUAAGUAGUCAAAGGAGUAUAUAAACUUCAUUAUCUAUCUAUCAUGCCUCUUAUCUUGUCUUAUCUAAUCUUAGUUGUCUGAUAUGAAACCUAAAGCAAGUGAG
Non-coding RNA from Bactrocera oleae (olive fruit fly), 1200 nucleotides. The record is from RefSeq and is a predicted model, not a curated record. Lineage: Eukaryota; Metazoa; Arthropoda; Insecta; Diptera; Tephritidae.